Molecule: long non-coding RNA, 617 nt
Filed under: Marmota monax (woodchuck)
Lineage: Eukaryota; Metazoa; Chordata; Mammalia; Rodentia; Sciuridae
Source: RNAcentral
AGAAAUCCUCAGCAUAUGCAUGUGCGAAAACGUCACAGCAAAACCCAUUCAUUUGUACCAUUAGUUACCUGUUAGUAAAGAAAAUUAAAAAAUACUUUAAAACUUUUAUUUUCAUUCUUAAUGUUUGAAUUGAGAGCAUUUCCCCCAGUGAACCUUUAUUGUCUUGUAACAUAUUAUUAUUUUGACUCUACUAUUCUGCAUUGUUCUGAUCUCUUAAAAGUAGUUUUCUGAUACUGUCGGUCAGGGUGAUAAUCCAAUUUAUGCCAACUAAUGGUAAACAGGAUAAAUAAUGCCAAACUUGUUUAAUAAAUGCAGAAGUACCACAUUUUAAAAUUUUAUUUGCUGAGAGUUUCCUACAUGCUGCGGGGUUCUCUGCAUAUGUUAAAUUUAUUCUUCACACAACAGUCAUCUGUCACCAAGUAGAGGAGGAAAGAGGUCACUUUCUCACAAUCAACUGGCCUCCUGGAGGCUGAGCUGAGACUUAAAUGCGAAUCCACCUGACUUCCCAAAUACCUUCUUUCCUGGUGACUUCAAAGUCUCCAAAAAGAUCUCCAAAGUGCCGAAUGAUUUCUCUGAUUUAAGGAUGCUGAUCCAUAAUAUGCUGCGGGGAAGGGGUG